Molecule: unclassified non-coding RNA, 794 nt
Filed under: uncultured Inocybe
Lineage: Eukaryota; Fungi; Basidiomycota; Agaricomycetes; Agaricales; Cortinariaceae
Description: sequence contains ITS1, 5.8S rRNA gene and ITS2
Rfam family: 5.8S ribosomal RNA (bases 278-431)
Source: RNAcentral
AAGUCGUAACAAGGUUUCCGUAGGUGAACCUGCGGAAGGAUCAUUAUCGAAUAAACUUGAACAGGCUGUUGCUGGUCCCUCGGGAUAUGUGCACGCUUGUCUCAUCUUUGUCAUUUCCCCCCCAACUUGUGCACAUUUUGUAGACCCUGGAGCUUUUUGAGAAAUUCAGUGUUGGUGACUGCUGUGCUUUCUUGUGAAGUCAGCUUUGCCUUGCCUCAGGGUCUAUGUCUCACACAAACCUUGUUCAGAAUGUAUCUUUGAAAUGAAAAACAUAUACAACUUUCAGCAACGGAUCUCUUGGCUCUCGCAUCGAUGAAGAACGCAGCGAAAUGCGAUAAGUAAUGUGAAUUGCAGAAUUCAGUGAAUCAUCGAAUCUUUGAACGCAUCUUGCGCUCCUUGGUAUUCCGAGGAGCAUGCCUGUUUGAGUGUCAUUUAACUUCUCAACCACACAUGUUGUUGUGUGGCUUGGAUGUGGGGGAAUGUUUUGCAGGCUUUCAUGUGAAUGAAGGUCGGCUCCCCUGAAAUGUAUUAGUGGUAUCUGAGGCUACUACUAUAGGUGUGAUAAUUUAUCUAUGCCUUUGGUAUGCCGCAUGAACAGAUUACGCUGCUUCUAAACAAACAAUGUUGAUAAAUUUGACCUCAAAUCAGGUAGGACUACCCGCUGAACUUAAGCAUAUCAAUAAGCGGAGGAAAGGAAACUAACAAGGAUUCCCCUAGUAACUGCGAGUGAAGCGGGAAAAGCUCAAAUUUGAAAUCUGGCGGUUCUUUGACCGUCCGAGUUGUAAUCUAGAGAA